RNAcentral lists this ribosomal RNA (257 nucleotides) under uncultured bacterium. RNAcentral describes it as "partial 16S ribosomal RNA". It matches the Rfam family "Bacterial small subunit ribosomal RNA", at positions 333 to 606 of the family's 1533-position model. The record is from RNAcentral.
CCUUUCCCACUUGACUCAUCAGUGGGGGAUAUUGCACAAUGGGGGAAACCCUGAUGCAGCGACGCCGCGUGAGUGAAGAAGUAUUUCGGUACGUAAAGCUCUAUCAGCAGGGAAGAAUAAUGACGGUACCUGACUAAGAAGCCCCGGCUAACUACGUGCCAGCAGCCGCGGUAAUACGUAGGGGGCAAGCGUUAUCCGGAUUUACUGGGUGUAAAGGGAGCGUAGACGGCUGUGCAAGUCUGAAGUGAAAUGCCGGG